AAACGGCCGCUACUUAUUUAAAUCCCUAGUUGGCCCAGAUAUUUUCUCAUGAACUCGAAACUCCUAAGCAUCGCGCUUUCUCUCUCUCUCUCUCCAUCUGAUUCGCCAUUCGUAUGAGAAUUCUCGGAACCAGAUCUCGCAUUCUUCUUCAUGCCUUAUUUCAUCGUCAAGCUUUACAGAGAGUCUGCGAUCUUCUCCGUGAAGCUCGCUUCCGUACUGCAUUAUCGGUUUCUUUCGCAACUCACAGAUUCUGCGUUUCGUCCGAAUCACGUUAGCGGAAGUAUCGCCGAUUGUUUUUCAUCCAGUUCGAACAACAGCAAAUUCUUCAGGUUGUAAUUGCGUUUGGUUGCUGAGAAGCUGCGGGAAAAUACAGGAUUUGUGAUGGUUUUUUAUUCUGAUGUGCUGAAAACAUUAGACUUGAUGGAAAAAAAACCCUACGAAAAGUUUAAUCCUAUGUUACAAAAGAAAUACAGAUCUAUUUCCUGUGAGCAAUAUACACGGCUGUCACAGCAGCAACUAAAGCAAAACUGGUACGGUGAAGGCUAUAUUAUGAGGCUUUAUAUCUUGUACUGAAUGAUUUCCACAUCAUCUCCAAUUGUGUAUUGAACAAUUUGUAUAAGCACAUUAGUUUCUCUUUUGGAUAUUCCAUUCUCUUCUACACAUCUCAUCUUACUAUAAAACUUCCGUCCUGUUUUUGAUCCAUUUGUUUGUUGUUUCUUUUCUCUUUUAAGUUUCCAUUACUUCGGUGUUGCACAUUUUGCUAUCAUUUUAAUAUUGUUUUAACCUUCUGUCAAUAGGGUAUGAUUCCAUCUGAACUCCUUACUCUGUGUUCUUAUGCCUCUGCAUAUUCAUUGAUGCUAUCAUUUUAAAUUCCCUUGAAAUUUGCAUUUUAAAUGUGUAUUUGGCUUUUUCCCUCCAUUUGAAUCUGGUCAGUUAGAUUAGCAUUUGAAAACAAUUCCCGUAAUGGUCAGAUAUUGAUAAUAUUGUAGAUAUAGAAGUGAGUGUAAGAGAUAGGCAUUUUUCAACAAUUUUGAUCUCUCUUUGAUACCAAAUAAAAUAUAGGGAAUUUUGUGAAAAUGAAGGGUAAAAAAAUGUCAUUUUGGGAUUCCUUGUCUGUAAUCUCCGAGAGACUGAUUGAAAUGUCUAUUCGUUUAUGCUUCAUGACACAUUUGUCGCUUUGGUGAUUCAUGUCAAAAAACACAAGAAAACGGCAAUGGGUUCUGAGUUCGUUCUUGUCAAUUGAGUAUUUUUCUGAUAUUAUUUAAUUAAUUUGGUGUUAACUUAUUGUAUGAAAUUUCAUAGUCUGUGUUCAUCAAUUUUUGUCUCAUGUAUUGCUAAUAACUCUGGCAGUCUUUACCCAUUUGAAGAGCAGAGUUUUAAAUAUUUAGUUUCCAAGGCAGUAAACAAAGUAAAAAAGAAUUGCACAUAUAUGUUUUGUAUGUAGAAUUUCUUACCUUAUUAAAUGUUGACUUUACAUAAGAUGUUGCUCUUCUUGUUUCUCACUCACACAUGCAAUAGUGCUUUAGUUGAUAGAAAAACAAACAUUGAUUGUCUAGUAGCCUAUAUGACAUGUCAUUUAUAGAGAAAACAUAAAAUUCAAAGCUGAGAUCAUCUUCUUGAUUGCUAUCAAGAAACAUUCAUCUUUUGUAGAUGCAUCAGUGUAGCUACAAUCUGCUGCAGCAAUCAAAAUGAAUCUCAUCAAGAUUUCUUCUAGUUUGUAAUGGUUCAAUAAUUGACUAGCUAAAUAAGAUCAUACCCCAACUUUGUGGCUCCUGAAGUGGCCUCAUAGUUCUGUUGCUGUGGUUGGCUUAGCUGGAGAUUCACAGGAACCUGCAAAUCUUCCUCUAUGCUUAUACCAUUUGUUAGAACAGAGUUUCUGUCUGUUCCACUCCCAUUUCUUGUUCCAUAGACCUGGGUUAAUGAAACUCCCUUUUUAAGGUUUAGAAUAAAAACUCUUUAUGUGGUUGCAUUUGUUUUAAGAAAUGGAUUUUUUUAAUAUUUGAUAUUAUUUUAGUUUGUCUUCCUAUCCAAAUCAGUACCUUCUUCUUCAGUUCCAUGUUUUCUUGACGAAUUAGGUUUACCUUCUUAUACAGUUCCAUAUUUUCUUGGUGUAUGAGGUUCCCCUGCAGAAAGUAAAAGAAUAAACAUUUAAUGAAUGAAAGAUAGUAAAGUCAAUAUUUUUCUGUGUAGACUAACCUUUUGAUUCAGUUCCUGUAUUUCCUCCAUUAAAAGUUGUUCCUGCAUAAGUCAAUUUUGUGUAAGAUACAUAUAUCGAAUUUUAAAAGAUGGAUAAUUGCAAUUUUUGGGGUGAAUUCACACCUUUUUUGCACGGACACCAUGGAGGCUAACUUCCAGUUGGUUCUCUAAACUAUGUAAAUCUUUGACAGUCAUACCUGACAGUUCUUCUCCCAUCAUUUGCCUGUUAGAUCAUAAAUCCCAAAAAGAGUUUGGUAUUGCAUCUUGUACACUUGGAUUGAGAGUUCAUCACCAAUGCUAUUUGGCAAUGAGCAGAUUAUCCCGCAAUAACAUGUUCUUACUAGAGAGAGAAAACAUCCUGGCAUAGCAUUUGACUAUUUAAACAUUUCUUCUAGAUCCAUGUUUUUAACAGUAGAGAGAAAGGGUCUGGUAUGGAGGUAAACAUCAUAUCUUGAGUGUUCUUUCUUUUUAACAAUAAGAAGUCUGUAAACCCUUCAAAUUAAUUUUUAUCACUCAACCAUAGUCUUUAACAUCACCCCUUUCACAGUUGUGUUCACAUUUACAAAUAACUUUGUUAAAAAAAAAAUGCGUGUCACUGUCGUCAACAAGCUUUAACACCAGGUAAAUCAUACAAGCUUACAACUGCUUUAUAGAAGAAGCCCACUUUCUAAUUCGUUUUCCCUCAAAGGCACUAGAUUGGGAUAUAGAGAGGGUACACAAAUUGAAAGAUUAGAAAAACUAUAGGAUUUUUAUUUCAAGAUAUUUUUUCUUUUUGGUGACAAAAACUAUUUUGUUAGAAUAAUCAUUAGGGAAUAAGUUUCGUUUUUUAUGUCUCAAAAUUAUUGGUAGACAUUAGUUUUUCUUUAAAAUAUCAAAUUCUAAUGGUUUAAUAAGAUUUUAUUCUCACUAUAGAGGUUGAGGAUAACAUAUUUCUAUGACAAAGGAAUAAGAACUAUUAAGUAAAGAUAUUAAUAUGUCUCUUACUUUAAUGUAUUAAUAAUAAGUAAUAAUAUGUAUUUAGAAGUAUGUUAAGAAUUAUCAUGUGAUCCUAGAAUAUGCCAUAAAUCAAAUGCAUUUAUAAUUUUUUCCUAGGAAAAUGGCAUAAACAAUUACAGGAAUUUUUACUGUAAAAGAUUCAAAUUUUUUACAAUACAUAGGAGUAACAUGUUUUAAGUAUAAUAAUAUUUCUUCGAAUAUAGUUCUAGGGAAACCUUGAAACAGAAGUUCUAGUAGGGAGGCAAGUAUAUCCCCUAGUCUAACUUAAUCUUUUGUCAAGUUAUGAUUUAGUUGGGUUUGAGUUCAAAGAAAUGAUGCUGUGAGAAGAUUGGGCAGAUUUAAGUAUCACUCCGCACUCCUUUGCCUUGAAAUAGCUAUGGAGAAGUCGUAAAUAUAAUCGUCUACCAAAAACACGUCCAAUGUAAAAAAGAAAUGCAUUUUUCUGCUGAUGCCACAGCAUUUUACACUCCUUGUUUGUGAGAAGGCCUUUGUAAUUUUGAAAGGGUUGCAGACAACAUCGUAAAAGAAACCUUUUAUCCUAUCAAUCGGGUUUUACAUGGACAUUUAUGAACUUAUAUUUAAAAUAAAUAUAUGUUGCACAGAAAAGAAUGUACCGGUGACUUUCUUGCAAGUUCUGCAAUUGUUGCCUUAACAUGGCUGCCUCCCUUUGCCAAAACUAGAAAAUACGAAUAAAAAGUCUUAGAUUUUAAAGGAGAAAGAAUCACUAGAUACACGUGCUUAUGCCAUGGUGUACCCUUUCAUUAACUAAAUAUAUGUGAUGCAAAUGGUCAGGUGUUUUGAUUAAAAUCUGCAUAAAUAAAAACAAUAAUAAAAAAAGAUGAAAAAAAGAUUAAUUAUCUGAUGUGGAAACUUCACAAUGAUAUAGUAAUUGUCAUAUGAUUGGCUUAUUUGAUUGAAAAUGUAUAUUAUUGAGAUGAGAUUGUGAUUGUGAUUAAUUGUUCUUUAGUGAAAAUGAGGUGCCUCUGGGUGUAAGGUGGUGGUUGUUUGGCCUUGAUUUUGGACAGUGAUAAUCUUUAGACAUGCAACUUUUGUCAGAUAGAACUAGCCACUUGAAUGUAUCUAUUUGAUGUGAAACUGAUGAAUUUGACACUUGAUAGCCAGUGACUACUGUGACUAACAACUUUUAACUAACUCAGUCAUUGUAAAGACUGAACCCCCUGUGUAGCAUGCUAGACAAGCUGCCCUCUCCCCUAUACUUCCUCUUGUAGACUCUUUCCUGAUCAUAAUCACAAAUAUCUCAUUUUGAUUCAUUCUCUCUAAUCUUAAUAUUCUCUGAAAUCUUUAUAUUCCUGUUUUUGUUACUUGAACAAUCGUCUUUUCUUCCUUUUGCAUAUUUUUCUUCAACAUAGUGUCAAAGUGGUAACAUCAACUAAGACCUAAUCAUAUAACUAUUUUUCUGAGUUCCUAAAAGAUGGAUCAUCUUUCUUUGUAGCCUCCUGUUUUCACAUUUCUGUGAUUUCUGUUUAUAUCUACGUCUUGCAUUUUCCUGCUUGCAAUCAUAUUUAACUCUUUUCCAGCCCAAUUUCCCUUUUAGAUUGAUUGAAAGACCGGUUAGCUUUGUUUCAUGAUAUUUAUUAUACCUGGUGGGUUUUCUUAUCCUUUUUAAUUCCCCGUCUAAUGAAUUUAAUAAAAAAAAAAAACAGUUUCCAACUAACUUGCCAUUCCUCUGAUUUCUUAUCAAAAUUUUUAGCUUGGUUCGAAGUUGGAACUCAUGCUUAGCUCACAUAAUCUCUUGUUGUCACUUUCUUUCAAAACAAGCAUUGAUUACCUAGAUUUUGAAAAAAUAAUUGAGGGAAAGGCAACCUGAACUAUACAUACCAAUGUUCAAGCUGCUAGUUGCCAUGUCUUAGGACACCUUCACCAAAGAAUGUUUUUCUAGCCAAGCUAACUGCCUUUGGCUUGUUUUUGAUAGUUUGGCUAAUUUAUCCUUCCUUGGGUUCCCUUCAUCUGUUGUUCCCUCUCUUAGCAUUGGUCAUCACCUGAUCUGUUCCAACUUUUUCGCAUUCUAUUUGUCUGAAGUGUCCCUGUACACUCUGUUUGGACUUGUAUUUUGGCAUGGAAUACUGUAUCUUUGGUGCUAUUUGGAUCUGCUUCCCUUUGAAUGGCUGUUUGUCUGUUAGGAUGUUCUAUUAGGUUUUAAGUCAUUGUUCUAAUGAUUUGAUUUGUUUAAGGAGUGCUUAAUUGUAAUGAGCUGAGGAAUGAAGUAUGCUUCCACUUAAGAUUCAACAAAGGAUUUGACGCCUCUUAAAGUAUGAGGUGCGUUUAAGGAGGUAACCACAAUCUCAACUGCAGGUGUCGAACAUGUGUAUUCUAUUGUGUUGAUGUUCAAAUAAAACUAUUAAUUAAUUAAUUAAUUAUCUUAUUAAUGAAGAUUGUGCACUUUAUCUUGAAAGGUAAUAUAUCUCAUGCAUUUUAGGAGCCAAAUCAGCCGACCCCACCUAGUGGAACAAAGAAUGCUUUGUUGUUGUUGUAUUUUAGGAGCCAAAUCCUUCAAGAACACAAGUAAUAUGGAUAUAGUGGUGAAUGAUAAGAUUGGAGUUAGUGCUCUCUGUAUAAAUUCGACCCCUUCAUCACUUUUGAUUGCUUUGUACAAAGUCGUUAAAGUACUUUCUGUGUCGUUAUGGAUCGUGAAAUAAUUCACAGGACAUCUAGCCAACUUUAAUCCAUUUGAAAUUCUGUGGCAAUUGUUUACUGUUGAGCUUCAUAAUUAGGUUAGUUGGAAUAUGUAGAAUUCGGAACGCAAUGGUCCUCAGUUAUUCUAUUUUUGUUUAUGACCUUUACUGUUGGUUUUGGUUGUUGGGAAAUGUUUCCCUGAGGUCCUUAACAAUGAUGAUUUCAUGACAGUUAUUUGCAGUGAGAAGGAGAUUAUUUGGUCUGUAAGAUGCACAUUGUUUUGGUUAUCUAAGAUCUAGUGAGAGAGCAGAGGUUUGUUUGUUUUGUCUGGGCUUUUUCAUGUUUUCAGUAGUUAGUAGGAACGGUAUGGUCAAAGAUUUGCUUAUUCUAGGAUAACAAGCUAGUUAGAAAUCCUUUAUUUUAUCAGCCUAAUCGCUCUUUUGAAAGAACUCAUCUUGGGGUGGGUUUACUACUUAGAUGCUUUCAGCAGUUAUCCGCUCCGCACUUGGCUAUUUUCUUACGAAGUUUUGUUAUAGCAUCUAUAAUGGCCUCUGGUUUAGGUGGACAGCCUGGCAAAUAGACAUCCACGGGAAUUAGCUUAUCAAGAAAAAGUAAAAUAUUAUUUUCUUUCAUCGAAGGACAUCAAUUACUAAGAUUCGAAGCAAUUAGUAUUAUUUUCCAAGGCAAAAGAGCCCCCAACCACGGAUGAUUUCAUUACCCUCACUAGCAAGAUUACGACCCUCAUUCCGAGCCUGUACAAAUGCUUGCAUGAAGGAGUCAGUCUUCUAUUCUUUUCCUUGGCGCAGCUGGGCCCCUGCUACGACAUUUGCACAUUUGGAUGCUACGACUGUAAUAUCUAGAGGAUUGGCUGCCAAAGGUAUCUAUCCAGCUGUCCAUUGACUACGCCUUUCGGCCUGAUCUUAGGCCCUGACUCACCCUCCGUAGACGAACCUUGCGGAGGAACCCUUAGGUUUUCGAGGCAUUAGAUUCUCACCAACGUUUGCGUUACUCAAUCUUUACUUAUCUUCAAGUCUUGGUUUGUUGAAUAGUGCCCUUAUGCAUGCAGAGAGAUGCACAGCCCUUGAUUUAUUUGAGGAUCAUCUGGCCUAGCGAUGGUUAGGUAUUCCUGAGGGUUUUGAGUUUGUUGACCUUAAGUGUGCAGGGAUUCCUACUUCCUCUGGAUAUACUUACUUUGCUUACAAUAAAGGUGAGUUCUUUUCCCUAUCAAAACUAUAUUAAUAUGCUAUUGAUGUUUUUCACCUACAGUUGGUUAUUGUGUAUGGGAAGAUACCAUUCAUUUUGGUUUGUCAAUUUAUCAAAUCCAUGAUUGUGAGUUCCUAGAAUCCAUAUUCAGACUUUGCAUUACUAGACAAUGGAAGGAAACAAAUUAAUUCAUUUCAGGAACAACUUUUGAAGUUCCUCAAGGUUGAUUCUUACCAGCUAGUGGAUGGCUGAGCCAAACCAUGCUUCGUUUAAGAUGCCUGAAUAGCUCUUGCUUUCUAGAAAGCCUAAUUUCAGAGUCAAAUCAUUCAUAAUAGGAAUACGAUGGUUAAUGUAUGCAAAAUAACUUACUCAUCAAUAGAUUUGAGUAUGUUGAAUCAGCUAUGAUGCUUUGUUCCACAGGAUAUAGAGCUUGGUGAUUCUAGUCUCGAGUUCCUUGACUAUGCUUCCCCAAUCGUAUUUUGAAUUACCCAACUCUGAGAUCCCUUGUACCUAUAUAUCAAGAUAAACGAACUAAUUUUUAAUGGAAUUAAUUUUGGAACUUGUGCAUCACCAACGUAGCUUUGGUAUUUCAGAUGACUUUUGCUAUGCAUGUAUUUUCCACCUUCUGCUAACAAAAAUAUGAUUUCUAGAUCAGGCCAUUGCUUGUAAUGAUUUGAAUUGCGGCCUGCUCCUAAAGAAGAACAACUCAUCUGGUUACUGAUGUGGUGCUCAGGCAGCAUCUACCAAUAGGAUUUGAAGCAUAACUGCUGAACAUGUCUUUAGUCCUGGUGAACUCAUUAUUUUCAGUUGAUUGGAAGGACUGAAUGAUGUAGAGACAGUCAUCAAAGAAAAAGUCCAAAGGAACACUGCCAUUUUUGUGACAGUAGUUCUUAAAUGUGCCUUUUUCUGUUGGGGAUUAUUGUUUCCUGAAAAAAUUGGGGAAAUCAUUAAUAUUCUUUUCUUUGUCUUUUGAAUCUAUUUCUUACAUCUGAUGCAUUCUUUUUUUAUGUUUCUGGCAGAUCAUACCCUUUGGGUUGCAGGAUGGGUUGUGCCCUUGUUAUGGUACAAUACUAAAAGAGAUUCUCAUUUAGGUACACAAACAUGGCAGCAAUAUUCUGAAAGGCCCUGUUGAGUUCCUUCCAGUUGUCUCAUUUACGAGAUAUUACUGUUCAAUUUUUAGGUGUUCAAUUGAUUGGGAUACUUUGUUGCAUUCUAUGUAUAUGAGAGAUUCUCCUAGCACUGCCAUGGGAGUUUCUCUGCCAUAGUACUAGUUAGUGUGGCAAAUGGCAAUGCAACAUCACAUUGCCAUAGCUGCCAGGUAUUUGACAUAUAACUUGCACGAUAUUGAAAAUGGUGAGCUAACAAGAGCCUCUCUUGUUUCCCCAUAUUCUUUCUUUUUAGGUUCAGCAUAAACCCAAAAGAACGCAAUUGAAAAAAGGUCUGCAGUGGCUCUCUUUUACUUUGGUUUCUUAGCAUUUUUCUCUCCUUUGUAAAUAGUGGGGUUUCAGCUCUUAAACCUUCAAGACUAUACUGAAACUAUCACGAAGUUAACCAGACCUGCACCAUUAUGAGAUAUAUAUAUAUAUUAUUUUAAUUUUUCUGCUGAAAAUUCAGAAAAUAGCCUUCACUCUUUGUAGUACCCAAGUGGUAAAAUAGGAGGGAAUGGAAGCAGUUAAGUCAGUUAGAGAGGCAAGUGGUAAAAUAGCUCCUUCACUUUUUAUUUACAGUGGAAGAGUGAAAGAAAAGUUGAAAAUGGAAAUACAGUGGGACCAACUAUUUCAACAAAUAGGGAGCUGGAAAGGUUAGUGGAGAAGACGUGAUAGAGGAAUGAAUUCUGUUAUAGGAGAGAUGAUCAAGAGUAAAAUAGGAGGAAUCAAGGGAUUCAAAGGGGAAUUUUAGACUGGGCAGGACCUUAGGAUGGUGGUAGCCUCUUGAAUGCUACCUUGUUCUCUACUUUCCAUAAUUGGUUCUUCAAUCAAUUCGUCAGAGACUGAGAGAGUAUCACUUUGAUAUCCUCCAGAUUCUGUGUUUCUCAUUCGUUUCUACUCUGUUUCUACUCUCCCUUCUAUAAUUCUGCUCUCAUAUUCUUAAUCUGACUCUGUCUCCCGGUAUUCUGUUGUUUAAUUUGUUCUUAGUUCUUGAACAGUGUUGCAUUUUUAAAUAUCCAGGAAAAUUAUAAAUAAGAAAAUGAAAAAAUAUAUAAAUAUAAAACAAUAUGAUAUUUCUCUUUUCUAACUAAGGUUUUAAUAUUUUAUAUUUAUAUGAUUAUAAUUCCUUAAGCAUACUUGUAAGAUAUAUCUUGAUAGUGAACUUGAUUGCUGGCGGUGCAAGAUAUAUAUUUAAAUACCUUAAUCUCAGAGGUUGAACUUCCAAGGGGGUUAUGCUCCUCUUUUGUUUUGUUGUAUCGAUCAAUCACUGAUUUCAUGCUGACAAAGUCAUCCAAAUUCAAAUUCUAUCAAUUUUGUGUUUCUGGUGACAAAUGUUCAAUAAAAGAAAAUAACAAAUUAUGCAGAGGUGAAUGCUGGAACACAAUAAUCUUAUAUCAGCAACUGCUGCCGCAGAAUAUAAAUUAGACGCCAGAUUUGGCAUGGAUAUGUUAACUGAAGUAAUUUUGUUGCAAACUUCCAACACUUAUGCAUGCCAGGUUUUACUAAUGUUGCUUGCAAUAUAUUUAAUGAGUAAAAGCUGACAACUGAUUGGUUAUGGUAUUCAGCAGGAUUGGGACAGGGAGGGAUUGAAACAGCUAAUUGCUUAAGACACCAAGAACCAGCAUCACAAAUAGCCGUUACUUGAAAGUCAAUGUUUGAGAUGUGAGCAAAGUCAGCCACUUUGUGCAAGUCACCAUCUAGCCAUCUAGAGUAGAAGAAGGAAUUCCUUAACACAAUGAUGUCGAGAGAAGCUAUCCUGUAAGACUGUAAAUUUUACCAGUGUGUUGAAAUGCUACUCCUAAGGACAGAGGAAUUGGCCCAGGGGUGUAGAUCCUCCUCGGGGUCCUGAACAUAUAUGUUUCGUAGAAUAUCACACCGAAGACUUCCUUCCCCUGUCAGCAAUUUCGACACCAACAUCUCCAGCAAAGCAAUGUUAAUAUUGUGAGUGUCCUUGAAACCAAGGCUGUCAACUUCAUUGAGCUAACUAACAUGGUUCGAGUUAACCAAGGUCAACCUUCGACUCCCUCUAUUACCAUUCUAAUUUCUAUAUGAAGUUGCGGGUUUGUUGGUCUAACCUGGCAUAAACCCUGCGUUGCAACCACAUAGACUACAUGGGAUACACAAGGAUGGAGAGAAAACUGAAUGGAUCAAACAAACAUGACGUGCACAAUUGCGUAAUUUUCCUUUCCAAGUGGCCAAUUUUACGUCCACAUUGUCAAUAACAAUAGAGGAGAGAUUUACCCUACUUUUGAUUAUUAUAUUGUUGCCAUCAUCUCGAUACGUAGAUAAGUUAAGGACACCGAGAUAUCCUUAGUGAAUGUCCAUGGAAGUCCAGUUGAUGCUAUCAUAAUUUUUUCUCAA
Molecule: long non-coding RNA, 10538 nt
Organism: Arachis stenosperma
Lineage: Eukaryota; Viridiplantae; Streptophyta; Magnoliopsida; Fabales; Fabaceae
Exons: 5
Source: RefSeq, a predicted model, not a curated record